RNAcentral lists this ribosomal RNA (462 nucleotides) under Theileria orientalis. Its description in RNAcentral is "SSU rRNA". It matches the Rfam family "Eukaryotic small subunit ribosomal RNA", at positions 486 to 984 of the family's 1831-position model. The record is from RNAcentral. Lineage: Eukaryota; Apicomplexa; Aconoidasida; Piroplasmida; Theileriidae.
UAGGGCCCUUUCGGGUCUUAUAAUUGGAAUGAGUACAAUUUAAAUCCCUUAACGAGGAACAAUUGGAGGGCAAGUCUGGUGCCAGCAGCCGCGGUAAUUCCAGCUCCAAUAGCGUAUAUUAAAUUUGUUGCAGUUAAAAAGCUCGUAGUUGAAUUUCUGCUGCAUUACAUUUCUCUUGUUUGAGUUUGUUAUUGUGGCUUAUUUCGGAUUGAUUUUUAUCAUUCCGGAUGAUUACUUUGAGAAAAUUAGAGUGCUCAAAGCAGGCUUUUGCCUUGAAUAGUUUAGCAUGGAAUAAUAGAGUAGGACUUUGGUUCUAUUUUGUUGGUUUUAGGUACCAAAGUAAUGGUUAAUAGGAACAGUUGGGGGCAUUCGUAUUUAACUGUCAGAGGUGAAAUUCUUAGAUUUGUUAAAGACGAACUACUGCGAAAGCAUUUGCCAAGGAUGUUUUCAUUAAUCAAGAAC